Molecule: ribosomal RNA, 452 nt
Filed under: uncultured bacterium
Lineage: Bacteria
Description: bacterial SSU rRNA
Rfam family: Bacterial small subunit ribosomal RNA
Source: RNAcentral
AGCGAACGCUGGCGGCAGGCCUAACACAUGCAAGUCGAGCGGCCGUAGCAAUACGGCAGCGGCAGACGGGAUAGUAACACGUGGGAACGCGCCCUUCGGUUCGGAAUAACUCAGGGAAACUUGAGCUAAUACCGGAUACGCCCUUACGGGGAAAGAUUUAUUGCCGAAGGAACGGCCCGCGUCCGAUUAGCUAGUUGGUGAGGUAAUGGCUCACCAAGGCGACGAUCGGUAGCUGGUCNGAGAGGAUGACCAGCAUCACUGGGACUGAGACACGGCCCAGACUCCUACGGGAGGCAGCAGUGGGGAAUAUUGGACAAUGGGCGCAAGCCUGAUCCAGCCAUGCCGCGUGGAUGAUGAAGGCCUUAGGGUUGUAAAGUCCUUUUAACGGGGAAGAUAAUGACGGUACCCGUAGAAUAAGCCCCGGCUAACUUCGUGCCAGCCGCCGCCGUAAC